RNAcentral lists this ribosomal RNA (486 nucleotides) under uncultured bacterium. Its description in RNAcentral is "partial 16S ribosomal RNA". It matches the Rfam family "Bacterial small subunit ribosomal RNA", at positions 30 to 507 of the family's 1533-position model. The record is from RNAcentral.
AUUGAACGCUGGCGGCAUGCCUUACACAUGCAAGUCGAACGGCAGCACGGGUGCUUGCACCUGGUGGCGAGUGGCGAACGGGUGAGUAAUACAUCGGAACAUGUCCUGUAGUGGGGGAUAGCCCGGCGAAAGCCGGAUUAAUACCGCAUACGAUCUACGGAUGACAGCGGGGGACCUUCGGGCCUCGCGCUAUCGGGUUGGCCGAUGGCUGAUUAGCUAGUUGGUGGGGUAAAGGCCUACCAAGGCGACGAUCAGUAGCUGGUCUGAGAGGACGACCAGCCACACUGGGACUGAGACACGGCCCAGACUCCUACGGGAGGCAGCAGUGGGGAAUUUUGGACAAUGGGCGAAAGCCUGAUCCAGCAAUGCCGCGUGUGUGAAGAAGGCCUUCGGGUUGUAAAGCACUUUUGUCCGGAAAGAAAUCCUUGGCCCUAAUACGGUCGGGGGAUGACGGUACCGGAAGAAUAAGCACCGGCUAACUACGUG